This 1259-nucleotide ribosomal RNA is filed under the name Stenotrophomonas maltophilia. RNAcentral's name for it is "bacterial SSU rRNA". It matches the Rfam family "Bacterial small subunit ribosomal RNA", at positions 55 to 1301 of the family's 1533-position model. Lineage: Bacteria; Pseudomonadati; Pseudomonadota; Gammaproteobacteria; Lysobacterales; Lysobacteraceae. The record is from RNAcentral.
AUGCAGUCGAACGGCAGCACAGGAGAGCUUUCCUCUCUGGGUGGCGAGUGGCGGACGGGUGAGGAAUACAUCGGAAUCUACUCUGUCGUGGGGGAUAACGUAGGGAAACUUACGCUAAUACCGCAUACGACCUACGGGUGAAAGCAAGGGGACCUUCGGGCCUUGCGCGAUUGAAUGAGCCGAUGUCGGAUUAGCUAGUUGGCGGGGUAAAGGCCCACCAAGGCGACGAUCCGUAGCUGGUCUGAGAGGAUGAUCAGCCACACUGGAACUGAGACACGGUCCAGACUCCUACGGGAGGCAGCAGUGGGGAAUAUUGGACAAUGGGCGCAAGCCUGAUCCAGCCAUACCGCGUGGGUGAAGAAGGCCUUCGGGUUGUAAAGCCCUUUUGUUGGGAAAGAAAUCCAGCUGGCUAAUACCCGGUUGGGAUGACGGUACCCAAAGAAUAAGCACCGGCUAACUUCGUGCCAGCAGCCGCGGUAAUACGAAGGGUGCAAGCGUUACUCGGAAUUACUGGGCGUAAAGCGUGCGUAGGUGGUCGUUUAAGUCCGUUGUGAAAGCCCUGGGCUCAACCUGGGAACUGCAGUGGAUACUGGAUGACUAGAAUGUGGUAGAGGGUAGCGGAAUUCCUGGUGUAGCAGUGAAAUGCGUAGAGAUCAGGAGGAACAUCCAUGGCGAAGGCAGCUACCUGGACCAACAUUGACACUGAGGCACGAAAGCGUGGGGAGCAAACAGGAUUAGAUACCCUGGUAGUCCACGCCUUAAACGAUGCGAACUGGAUGUUGGGUGCAAUUUGGCACGCAGUAUCGAAGCUAACGCGUUAAGUUCUCCGCCUGGGGAGUACGGUCGCAAGACUUAUACUGAAAGGAAUUGACGGGGGCCCGCACAAGCGGUGGAGUAUGUGGUUUAAUUAGAUGCAACGAGAAGAACCUUACUGGGCCUUGACAUGUCAAGAACUUUCAAGAGAUGGAUUGGUGCCUUCGGGAACUCGAACACAGGUGAAGCAUUUCGGUUGUCAGCUCGUGUCCUGAGAUGUUCGGUUAAGUCCCGCAACGAGUGCAGCCCUUGUCCUUACAGGCCAUCAAGUAAUGGUGGCAACUCUAAGGAGACUGCCGGAGACAAACCGGAGGAAGGUGGGGAUGACGUCAAGUCAUCAUGUCCUCUACGUCCAGGGCUACACACGUACUACAAUGGUAGGGACAGAGGGCUGCAAGCCGGCGACGGUAAGCCAAUCCCAGAAACCCUAUCUCAGUCCGGAUUGG